RNAcentral lists this long non-coding RNA (2255 nucleotides) under Rhagoletis pomonella (apple maggot). Its description in RNAcentral is "uncharacterized LOC118757418". The record is from RNAcentral. Lineage: Eukaryota; Metazoa; Arthropoda; Insecta; Diptera; Tephritidae.
UGGAGAUUUAAACGGUGUAUUUUUAGCGUAAACACCUCAAAACAGAUGACUGGCAUGAAAAUUAAUUAUUAACUCAUAAUUAACAUAUACAAAAAUAACAAUGAAAUUUUGUAAUUGGUAAGACUAACACAUGUUGAAAAUUGGCAAAGUACUUUGAGGAAAUACACGUACAUUCACACACACAAAUGAAUUUUGUGGAUAAACAUUAAACGAAAGUUUUUUUCCUGUAAUCGCUGGGGCUUUGAAAUCAGAGUUGACAAACUAAAUACAUAGAUCAAGCGGGUGCGUAAAACUUUUGGUUUUUUUUUGCCAGUACGGUAUACUUUAAAAGUCAGUAUACAAAAAAAAAAAUUAAUUCUGAUAAUCCAUAUCGAAGUAUAAUCAUUAAUCGUUAAUCGGAGACUAGUAGAACUCAUCUUAAAAAUAAAAUAUGUAGAUAUUAUUUGGUUGCCGUCGCUACUGAAAAUAUCGUAAAAGCGGUACAUUGCUGUAUGAACACUUUCAUAUAUGUAGCUGCAGCAACUUGAAAGCUUCGAUCGGCCUCGCUCGGCUCGGCCCGGCUCGGCUCCGCUUUCUGUAUGAACGCACCCUGAGUCUUGCACACCAGGUUUUUAGAAAUUAUCGUCAUCAUACCAAUUUUAAAAUAGUCUCUCUUAAAUCAGUGGCGAAUCCUGAUGAAAAUUUGGGAGGGGAGGGGGUGGGGGGAAUAACUUUCAUAAUGGUGUACCUUAUUUAAUGGUUGUGUUAAUAAGUAAACAUAAACUCCAUUUUUGGUGCAUAUAGGUAAAUAUCGCUCAGUAAAGUCAUAAUACAAAAAAUAAAAAUUUUGAGUUGAGUUGAGUUUUCUGCAUAACUUUCCUCCCCCGCGGAGCCGCGCCUGUCUUAAAUAGAGCACCCGAAAUAUAUGCUGCACAAAGGGAACACAACCACACAAAAAAAAUAAAAAUAGUAAAAAAAUCAAGUCAGAUCCUUAGAUUUUCAGCAAAUCAAACGGAAGCAGGCGAACCAUAGAAUCGGAAGCAAGAGUUUUAAAUGAUUUCAACUUACAAAUCAGGUGACGUCCUCUGUGAUUGGUAGGGUAGGUAUCGCUGGUCAAAACAGGGUUAGACUGCUGAAAAGCAGCCAUUGGUAGGACAAAACUCAAGUUAUAGCGGUAUGUAGGUGCACUUAGCAAAAAAAGUAGCACUAUUGGUUUUAUACGCAUUGUUUUAGAAUGAAACUUUAAAGAGUAUCCUUUUUCGAUAUCACUAUAUAGCCAUUAAUAAUAAACAUUUGAAAAAUAAUAGCUUUUAAUUUUGGUUAAUAAUUUGAUGACUAAAAGCACAAGUUUUAACCUUAACAAUAUCAAAUUGAGACCUGCAUAGUCUUUUUGGUUUCAAUGUAACAACGAAAAACAUAUCAAUGCUACAAGGAAAACUAUCAUUUAGAUAAGAUGAUUCAUGAGGAAAAAUAUAUAAUCGAAAUUUUCACGUUGAUGGCUAAAUAUAAAUGCCCUGAGGAAACUUUUUUGAGUGUAGCGACUACUAGAUAUUGGCGUAUGGCAUUGAUGACCUGUAUUUGAAAGUACUGACAUACAUACAUAUAUACGGCUAUCUCAAUGAUCUUCGUCGCUCCUUCGGUGCACGGAGUAUUACACUAUCUCUAUAAAAGGACAACGGCGACCACCACGAAUGAUCAAACUGCGACUAAUGCCGAAUUUGCACUAGGCAUUCAAAUGACAAAAAAUGUAUGCCAUUUAAAAAAAUGCCAUGUUGAAAUGAACUUAAUGAAUUUUAUUUUUAAUGUAAUGACACAACUAUUUUUAAAUGCCCGCCUUUGUCAUUUGUCAUUUUUGCCAUUUAAUGCCUAGUAGAAAUCCAGCAUAAGAAUCCCCGUUGACGGCUCAAAAAUACCAAUGGUUAGUAACCCGAAAAGUUUAAGCAGGCAACGGAAUGCGACCUGAUAUCGCGUGGUAAUGCAUUGAAAAUCCAUGAACACAAUUCAUCGGAAGACCUCUCUGGGCUACUCCACUGCGAACAUUUGGCUUCAGAACUUGAUCAACUUUGAAAUAUUACUAUGUAUUCGGAAUAUACACAAUAUCUAGUGAAAUAAAUAUAUACCAUGCUAUGGAGGUAUGCCAUAAGUCCUAGCGUAAUUAUAUAGAGAAUUUCCUCCUCUGCAUACAUUGUAACAUCCUUGCAGGAAAUGGGCCUAGUUAACUCCUUUAGAACAUAAACUAUCAAUAAUAAAAAAAAAUAAUUUUUUUUAUAUUUCUA